RNAcentral lists this transfer RNA (631 nucleotides) under uncultured Prochlorococcus sp. Its description in RNAcentral is "partial 16S-23S ribosomal RNA intergenic spacer". The stretch from base 251 to 323 matches the Rfam family "tRNA". Lineage: Bacteria; Bacillati; Cyanobacteriota; Cyanophyceae; Synechococcales; Prochlorococcaceae. The record is from RNAcentral.
CAGGGAGACAAUAAAUUGAUUGUGAUGUCUAAGUUAUUUAUUCUUAGGCCGCAAUCCUGUCACCUUAAGGUCGAUCGGUACCUCAGAUUUUUGAAUUAUUUUUAUAAUUGAUUCUUUGAUUUCAGUUCCUAAACUUGUCUAGGUCACACCCAACAAAGGUUUCUCCUGGGCCAUUAGCUCAGGUGGUUAGAGCGCACCCCUGAUAAGGGUGAGGUCCCUGGUUCAAGUCCAGGAUGGCCCAUUCGUUGUUGGGGGUAUAGCUCAGUUGGUAGAGCGCCUGCUUUGCAAGCAGGAUGUCAGCGGUUCGAGUCCGCUUACCUCCACUGAAAACUAUCCUGAUAACUAAAUUCUGGAGAAAAAAUUGUAGAUGUGGCUUAGAAUUGUCUAUUUGAAGAGAACCUAGCUUCUUGUCAUCUUUUUAUAGUUGAUAAAAUGCUGGGCUCGCAUGGAUUAUUUCCAUGAGAAUUCAGUAGAACCUUGAAAACUGCAUAGAUUAGAAAGAAUAAAGCAUCUCAUGGAUGCAUAAUUCUAUUUUUAUAAUUUAGCCUUAAAACUAAAUUAUUUAAUCCUAGAAUUCAUGUUUAAUUCUUGAGUAAAAGCCGAGCACAAUUGAUUUUGUGAUUGUAUUUAA